UACAGAGGUCUCAAGCGUUGUUCGGAUUCAUUGGGCGUAAAGGGUGCGUAGGCGGCGCGGUAAGUCGGGUGUGAAAUCUUGGAGCUUAACUCCGAAACUGCAUUCGAUACUGCCGUGCUUGAGGACUGGAGAGGAGACUGGAAUUUACGGUGUAGCGGUGAAAUGCGUAGAUAUCGUAAGGAAGACCAGUGGCGAAGGCGGGUCUCUGGGACGGUACUGACACUGAGACGCGAAAGCGUGGGGAGCGAACAGG
Molecule: ribosomal RNA, 253 nt
Filed under: uncultured bacterium
Lineage: Bacteria
Description: partial 16S ribosomal RNA
Rfam family: Bacterial small subunit ribosomal RNA
Source: RNAcentral